GAGGGAUUCUUGCGUAAAAUACAGAGGUAGCCAUUUUUCCUCUCGGUUCUACUGAAAAGCCAAUUGUCCCGGUGGAUAUAUUAUCGAAUAGAUAUUUGGAAAAACACCUUGAGGAUUGAUUAUAAACAACGUUUGCCAUGUUUCUGUCGAUAUUAUGGAGCUAAUUUGGAAUAUUUUUCGGUGUUUUCGUGACUGCAAUUUCCAAUUUCCAGUCGAUUUCUCAGCCAAACGUGAAGAACAAACGGGAGCUAUUUCGCCUACAAAAAUAAUAUUUUUGGAAAAAAGGAACAUUUGCUAUCUAACUGGGAGUCUCAUGAAUGAAAACAUCCGAAGCUCAUCAAAGGUAAACGAUUUAAUUUGAUUGCUUUUCUGAUUUACGUGACCAAGUUGCCUACUGCUAGCUGGACAUAAUGCUAUGCUAGGCUAUCGAUACUUACACAAAUGCUUGUCUUGCUUUGGCUGUAAAGCAUAUUUUCAAAAUCUGAGAUGACAGGGUGAUUAACAAAAGGCUAAGCUGUGUUUCAAUAUAUUCCACUUGUGAUUUCAUGAAUAGGAAUAUUUUCUAGUAAUAUUUAUGUCCGUUGCGUUAUGCUAAUUAGUGUCAGAUGAUGACAACGAUCCCGGACACGGGAUGGGUAGUCAAAACAGGUAUUAACUUACAGUUAGAACUCAGUAGUAACUUACAGUUAGAACUCAGUAUUAACUUAGUUAGAACUCAGUAUUAACUUACAGUUAGAACUCAGUAUUAACUUACAGUUAGAACUCAGUAUUAACUUACAGUUAGAACUCAGUAUUAACUUACAGUUUGAACUCAGUAUUAACUUAGGUAGAACUCAGUAUUAACUUACAGUUAGAACUCAGUAUUAACUUAGUUAGAACUCAGUAUUAAC
Molecule: long non-coding RNA, 890 nt
Organism: Oncorhynchus tshawytscha (Chinook salmon)
Lineage: Eukaryota; Metazoa; Chordata; Actinopteri; Salmoniformes; Salmonidae
Source: Ensembl